AACGCAGGCCGCACCUUGCAAUAUCACUCUGUGCUAUUACAAGGUAUCUACGUAUGAGUGUCAGCCCAAUAUCAUUUUGGUUCAAGAAACUAGUGGCAUACUUUCUUUAAAAGAUUGCUUCUUUUCCGAAAGGAUUUGAUGUUGUCAUGAAAACUCUUGAAUACACUUUAUAAUAAUGCGAGAAAUCGUAUUUUUAAAAUGUCUGGCCUCAUAUGUGGAAGGUUACCCGCUGGAUUUAA
This 239-nucleotide unclassified non-coding RNA is filed under the name Mortierella sp. RNAcentral describes it as "partial contains 5.8S ribosomal RNA, internal transcribed spacer 2, and large subunit ribosomal RNA". The record is from RNAcentral. Lineage: Eukaryota; Fungi; Mortierellomycota; Mortierellomycetes; Mortierellales; Mortierellaceae.